UACGGAGGGGGCUAGCGUUGCUCGGAAUCAUUGGGCGUAAAGCGCACGUAGGCGGUUCGUUAUGUCGGAUGUGAAAGCCCUUGGCUUAACCGAGGAAGUGCAUCCGAAACUGGCGAGCUAGAGUACGAAAGAGGAUCGCGGAAUUCCCGGUGUAGAGGUGAAAUUCGUAGAUAUCGGGAGGAACACCGGUGGCGAAGGCGGCGAUCUGGGUCGAUACUGACGCUGAGGUGCGAAAGCGUGGGGAGCGAACAGG
RNAcentral lists this ribosomal RNA (253 nucleotides) under uncultured bacterium. RNAcentral's name for it is "partial 16S ribosomal RNA". It matches the Rfam family "Bacterial small subunit ribosomal RNA", at positions 524 to 776 of the family's 1533-position model. The record is from RNAcentral.